RNAcentral lists this non-coding RNA (95 nucleotides) under Nonomuraea fuscirosea. Lineage: Bacteria; Bacillati; Actinomycetota; Actinomycetes; Streptosporangiales; Streptosporangiaceae. The record is from RNAcentral.
GAGAGCCCGUUGCGGUGAAAGUCGCACGGCGGAUUCGGGACGGCGGCUCGGAGAAACGGAUCGAUGGCAACACCGACACCGCGUUUCGAGCCGAC